This is a long non-coding RNA of Xiphophorus maculatus (southern platyfish), 247 nucleotides long. RefSeq lists it as uncharacterized. The transcript has 3 exons. The record is from RefSeq and is a predicted model, not a curated record. Lineage: Eukaryota; Metazoa; Chordata; Actinopteri; Cyprinodontiformes; Poeciliidae.
UUGACUUUUAAGUCUAAUGAAGUAUUCACCUCUGAUUUGGGAGACCCAUCAUCAUCAGGAUUCCAAACACGCUCUGGACAUAUAAUGAAUCGACUCGACCCACUUUUCAGAAGAGCUUUCCCCUCAUUCCAAAAAACUGGAGCCAUGAGAUUCAGGGCUGGAUCAAUUAUCAACUCUGUGGAUCUUGAAUUUCAGUCAUCAUCUUCUCCUAAUGAUACACUAAUUAAAGACAUUUUGGUUAAUGAGG